CCUCAGUUUCAGUCUCCUUUUCCAAAUCCUCCCUUGUUCGAUUCCUUUUCUUUAAAGAACCACCCAAUUGAUUCUCUAUCAAUUCAUCCAUCAAAUUCUCGUCAUAAUUCCGCAAACCUGCUUUCUUCCUCAAUGACCUCUUUGUAAUCAGCCCUUCCUGGCGUGGGGUGUCCAUAGUCCAAUGAACUACAAUACAACUUUUCAACUCAAACUCAUAAUCAUCAAGCUCAAAACAUCCUCAAGAACAGAACAAUACAAUACAUUGCCCUUCAAUAUUAAUCACUGAUCAACUCCAAGCAAAAUAGCAUCAAGUAAAUAUUUCUUAUGCAGAAAUUUCAUGAAAAAACAAUCAAGAACACAACUUGGC
This 367-nucleotide unclassified non-coding RNA is filed under the name Hevea brasiliensis (rubber tree). The record is from RNAcentral. Lineage: Eukaryota; Viridiplantae; Streptophyta; Magnoliopsida; Malpighiales; Euphorbiaceae.